This 168-nucleotide unclassified non-coding RNA is filed under the name uncultured Helotiales. RNAcentral describes it as "sequence contains ITS1". The record is from RNAcentral. Lineage: Eukaryota; Fungi; Ascomycota; Leotiomycetes; Helotiales.
CAGAGUUCAUGCCCUCACGGGUAGAUCUCCCACCCUAUGUUAUCGUUACCUUUGUUGCUUUGGCGGGCCGUCAGGCCUCGGUCAGGCUACUGGCUUCAGCUAGUAAGCGCCCGCCAGAGGACCCCAAACUCUGAAUAUUAGUGUCGUCUGAGUACUAUAUAAUAGUUA